UAGGGAAUCUUGCGCAAUGGGCGAAAGCCUGACGCAGCCAUGCCGCGUGAAUGAUGAAGGUCUUAGGAUUGUAAAAUUCUUUCACCGGGGAAGAUAAUGACGGUACCCGGAGAAGAAGCCCCGGCUAACUUCGUGCCAGCAGCCGCGGUAAUACGAAGGGGGCUAGCGUUGCUCGGAAUUACUGGGCGUAAAGGGCGCGUAGGCGGAUAUUUAAGUCGGGGGUGAAAGCCCAGGGCUCAACCCUGGAAUUGCCUUCGAUACUGGAUAUCUUGAGUUCGGGAGAGGUGAGUGGAAUGCCGAGUGUAGAGGUGAAAUUCGUAGAUAUUCGGCGGAACACCAGUGGCGAAGGCGACUCACUGGCCCGAUACUGACGCUGAGGCGCGAAAGCGUGGGGAGCAAACA
Molecule: ribosomal RNA, 402 nt
Filed under: uncultured Phenylobacterium sp.
Lineage: Bacteria; Pseudomonadati; Pseudomonadota; Alphaproteobacteria; Caulobacterales; Caulobacteraceae
Description: bacterial SSU rRNA
Rfam family: Bacterial small subunit ribosomal RNA
Source: RNAcentral